This is a long non-coding RNA of Triticum aestivum (bread wheat), 2549 nucleotides long. RefSeq lists it as uncharacterized. The transcript has 3 exons. The record is from RefSeq and is a predicted model, not a curated record. Lineage: Eukaryota; Viridiplantae; Streptophyta; Magnoliopsida; Poales; Poaceae.
UUCUCUAUCUCCCCAAACGCGGCGCCCGCCGCCGCCUCCAACCCUGCCUGCCUCCCCAUCUAAUCUCCAUCACCAGUCGCCCAUCCAGCCCCGCAUCGCUAGCAAUUACCCGACGGUGCGUCGACCAUCCGCAUGCUCACGCGCCCCACGACGAACCCUAGCCAACGUUCCUUUUCUCGGGUGGCGCCAGACGGCAGCUGGGGUGAGGAUGAGAGCAAGAAGGGGGAGCAGCUUUUGGUGUGUGUGUAUGUGGUGGGCGUGGGGGUGGGGGAGCUGGAGUUUGAGAUGUGGUGGAAGGUUCAGGUUCAAUAGCAACACCCUUAAUUUUCUUCCUCCCAACUAUGAUUGCUGGCACCAAUCACACAAACAGCAAGAAUUUUUAUCUGUAUUCGCGACCUUGUUUCCCCUGAUUUUGGUGUAAAAGUCGUGCUUUGAGUCCUCUCCUCCAGUUGAUGCUUUCACAAUCAAUUUCUCUCUGCUAAUAUUUACUAAGUUCAAUAUUUUUCAGUAGUAGCAACUUAAACUACUGAGUGUACUGUGUGUUUGAGGUCUCGAAGAUAUGACAUGUGGUUGGAUUGCUUUUUCCCUUGCGAUGUGAGGGUCAUUUUCCGUACCAUUAAUAGUAUUACUUAGUAGCAUAGCGACUAAGUUUUCAGUAUCAUUAACAUUACUUUGUAACAUAGCCACUAAGUGUUGUUCAUCAGGAUGUCCAUGUCCUCAAAACAUUGGCGAUGCGAGAAAAAAAUCAUAUGCAAUAUUUUCAGGCCGCAAGAAUUUAAAUUUAUGCUGCAAUCUCAUUUUAUUUUUAUUUUCUCAUUGGCAAUAAGCUGCACGGACCACAUGUUAGAGAAAGUAAUAACCUUUUUAUUUUAAAAAGCUUAGUACCUUUGCGCCUCAAUAGUUUGGUUGUAGCUGGAUGACUGUAUUGUGAACAUGUGAAAAAAGCUUUUGCCACUACCUCAUGCCAACAGGCAGUCCAUAAUGGUUAUUGUUCAAAUAGUGGUGAGGUAUAUGUAUGUGUAUUUUUCACACGGUGAAGCCUAUAUUUUUUUCUAGCCUAAUCUAACUUAAAAGUUGGUUCUCUUUUCUGUAGUUGCAUUCAUACAUCAAACAUCCAUGUUGUCGUGGUUAGUAAAUACAGAACCAUUUUAAGUGGACCGUGUUUAUGCAAAACAGAUCUCGCAUGCUUGAGGUUAUAUAAUUUUUUCUCUUUACCAUUUGAUACUACGAAGUGAUCAAAUUGACAAUGACAAACCACUUUAAUAUAAUUGGCCGCUACACCUUCCUACGCAAUGUUAGCAUGCUCCGAUGCACUUUUUUAUACAUUCCCCUGCUAUAAUAUGCUACAUGUGCUAGCCAUUUUUCAACUAGUUGCACUAUUCAUGCCUACAAUAUAUUUGCACUACUUUUUUAUGUAACCCUUGAUGCAUACUUGAAAUCGAUCAACAUCGGCGAGGAAGGUCAGCUGCCCACUGCUGCUCCAUUUCCUUUUCUGAGCACUGCCGCCCUUGAGGAGAGGUCCAGCAGCAAUUGUUGCUGCUCCUGCCUUCCUUUGUCAUCAAAGGUCUGGUGCCGUCAUCUCACCGUAGCUCCCUCCCUACUAGAAUUAGAGCAAUGCCAUCGACCGGUGGUUGCUGCUUCCUCUUCCUUCCCAGCCAGUGUGUCGAGGGCAUGGAAUCUUCUUGAAGGACCAAUAUGCUGGGAAACUAAUAUUCAAACCCCCACAACAUCAAAGUCAUUCCUGCAGGCCUUGUCACAUAAUAAAGUGGCAAAGUAUAACUUGGUUUUAGUUUCGGCUGCAAAACGGAUUUAUGAUGUUCAAGCAUUGAUGGAGUCAUUUAUUAGGGAAAGUAGUUCACACUUAAGGGUAUGCACAACCAAACCCCAUUGGUACUUGUUCAGAAUACCGGGAAUACAAUACUGCUACUAACUUGCAUUGCAAUGUCUGUGCAACCUUGAAUAUCAAGAUGGUUGUUCAAUCGCCUGAGAGUGAUAUUGUAUAUGUUGUUGGAAUUGCUGGUUCCUCAAAGCUAAAUGUUUAUGGGUUCUUGCCUCCAUAAAACCAUUAGUAUCUAUAUGUCGUGGUGUUAGAGUUCUUGCCUCCAUGCAUUUUUUGUUCUGAUAUAUGCAGCAAAGAAGAGAUUAUGAAGACGCUUUCCUAGCUUUAGUUGGAAUGAACACAUUCUAUUUGCCUUGUUUGUUGUUUCGGUGCUAGAAUCAUCUUCUUGCCCCAGCAAAACAUGUGGUGGGAGUUGUUAUAGCAGGGUAUGCUACUCUACAGGGUAUUUGAUAAAAUAUUGCUUCUGCUUCUUUUCUAGAUUACACUAACAGAUUCAUACGUAUAUGAAAGUUAGAUUACCGCUUCAAAGAAAUUUUUUGCAACAAUACUAUGACUUAUAUUGAUGUAACAGAAUUUUUGAACUUGCUGGUUGAAGCACAGUUUCCACCUAUCUUAAUGUUGUUUAUAUUUUAUUUGUGUAUUCAUGCCAUCCGAUAUAGCAUGCAAAACCAUCGACUUUGUUGUUGUGGUUGCGUACUACCACUGCCAU